UACAGAUCACAUAGAAUGUGCAUCACGCCGGUCAAAUUCGUUUUUUAUUCAGUUUCACCUUUGAGUGUCAAAUCAGGUCACAUGCAAUUAAACCCAAAUCGAUUCUGUUCAAAUCAAGGGCCAAUUUCUGCAUGACAGUAUAGAGGUUAACAAACCUCUGGUUAAAUUGGCCGAUUUUCAAACCACUAGAAGUGGGCUGAGAUUACGUGAAGGAGGAAUAUCUUAGUUGCGGGGACAAACUUAGUGGUAACAUAUUUACCUUUUUCGAUAUUCUAUAACGUAGCUGUAGUAAAAUCUAAUCGUCAUGUUUAGGCUAGUGUCUAUUAUACCGACAAUUCUAAAAUAUUUGAUUCGCAUUAAAUUCGUCAUUAAAUCCAGAUCCAAAUUAGAGACACCUUUGUUGUCUCACAUGACCCAGCUAGACUCUAAUACACCCAGAUAAUCUAUUACAUCGGUUGUUUUAAGAAGGCCUUCUCCGAAGAAGCUUUCUUUAGAUGAUCCUGUCCGUCCGUCUGUCUGGCCGGUUGAUGAGCCCUCGAAGGAAGUAGUCUUUGGGCCAAACUUGGUACAUAAAACUGGGUCAUGGUUGAAAAUGGGCAAUACUUCUGCAGUCAUUUCUGUACCUCCUCCACAAAAGGUGACAAUUGUUAAUGAAAAUAAAUCCCUUAAACUGGGAUAUAAAUAUUUGAUUUUUUUUUUUUUUUUCGAAAAAAAUAUAAAAAAAUCCAAACGGGUCGAGUACACUUUAUUUUAUUUUGAACCUGUCUGCAUUCUCUGAAAAAAAAAAACUGCCGUAGUUUUAUGAUAUUAAAUAUCAGGGUUUUGUUGGAUACAGGCAGAACCAUUAGCUCUGAUCCAUAUGUGAGUGAGACUUUGCAAAAACCUAAUACUCCUGGGGUUAUUUUUCUGAACAAUAAUCUAUGGCAGCGUAGAUAACCGUGCUAUUACAAAGUGCCCUUCCAUGCAAUCCCACGCUGAAGUUUUCUAAAACAUUUUCUAUAGUCAAUUUAUUGACCCAACAUUCAUUUAAUUUCAGAAGGUUACUUAGCAGGAAACCUUUGAUGUAGGACGAAAUCGUGUCGGGUAUUAGGAUAACAUUUCGCACUUUUUUGUUUAAGUCUAAAAAAUAAACAUUAAAAACAAAAAGAAAAAUAAAAAAACAAAAACGAAGCAACAACAAUAACAGCAAUAUCAUGCACACAUUCACACACAAUUUAUGCUAAAAAUAUAGCAACAUUUUUAAUGAAAAACUAUAUUUAAAAAAACACGAGCGGCAAUAUUUUUACUCCGCGCCAUCCGAGGGGGAGGAGUGGGGGAGAGUGUAAUAUUUCGACAAACGACAGAGCUUAUGAUCGCUAUAAUAUUGGCUGUGCCGGUGCUGGGCGGUGGUGAUGAUGAUGAUGACGCUGCUGACGUGAUGUUGCUGUCCGCAGUUGUAUUCGAUUUAAUAAUGGUGGCCGUGUGCAAUAUUGUUUAUAUUUCUAUCGUCCAUUAUUUAUUGCCAAAAUUUGUAUCAUUGGCUAAUAACGAGCGGUCGGUCGGUCGGUCAGUUGCUGUCUUUUAAUCAAGAACAACAAGCAACAAAAACACAGCAACAACAACAGGAGGGUGGGUGGACUCUGUUUGGAUUGUUGCGCUAGCUAAAUAGAUAUUGCCUUCGCCUGUUGUCUGGGACAAAAACACGAGGAACGGCCAGACAUUUGUUUAUACAUAGAACUUGCCGCGUGCUCCUAACCCGUUACAUCCAUUCAUUGGUUCUCCAAAUCAACGUCAAAGUCGGAAAAGUUUAUUGGGUGGUGCGCACAUGACUUUACUCGGCUAAUAUUGUAGAGUGUGCACCACCACCAUCCAUAUUUGGAAUAAUGAGGUCUAGCGAAUAAAGCCUACACUUUCGGCAGAAAUAUUAUCGGCCGACAGCAAAAUUCAAAUAGUCGCACAUAGUAUUCUCACAAAAUCAUUGUCAAGGACAGCGUGUAUGUAAGUCAAUCAAGAUUUCUCGAUCAAAUCAAAAUUUGAAAUUGGUCUGUGGCAAGAGAGAUGGUUGCUUUGGAAAUAUAGGAAUCGAGCUAAAUGUCGUGUAACUCGUAACUAUACCUCCAAUGAUAUUAAAUCAAGUUUUAUGAAAAUAUUAUGUUGAGCAACGCUAGAAGCAAAAAGGGGGAUCCAUCGCUUAAAUGUAUAAGACUUGGCCAAUUUCGAACAAGACUCAGUACCGGUAUCAUAAUGUGUACAAGACCUUCAUUCGAGAGUUGCCGUGUAUCCGGAAAUAUAAUAAUAGAAAUAAAAAAAUUAUAUUUGUCAUAAC
Musca domestica (house fly) is the source of this 2305-nucleotide long non-coding RNA. RefSeq lists it as uncharacterized. NCBI's taxonomy places the organism in Eukaryota, Metazoa, Arthropoda, Insecta, Diptera, Muscidae. The transcript is spliced from 3 exons. The record is from RefSeq and is a predicted model, not a curated record.